Molecule: ribosomal RNA, 694 nt
Filed under: uncultured bacterium
Lineage: Bacteria
Description: bacterial SSU rRNA
Rfam family: Bacterial small subunit ribosomal RNA
Source: RNAcentral
ACACAUGCAAGUCGAACGGAAGUUAGAGCUUCGGUUUUAACUUUAGUGGCGAACGGGUGAGUAACGCGUGAGGAACCUGCCUUUCAGUGGGGGACAACAGUUGGAAACGACUGCUAAUACCGCAUGAUGCUUUUGGGAGACAUCUCCCGGAAGCCAAAGCUUUAUGUGCUGAAAGAUGGCCUCGCGUCUGAUUAGCUAGUUGGUGAGGUAACGGCUCACCAAGGCGACGAUCAGUAGCCGGUCUGAGAGGAUGAACGGCCACAUUGGGACUGAGAUACGGCCCAGACUCCUACGGGAGGCAGCAGUGGGGAAUAUUGGGCAAUGGGGGAAACCCUGACCCAGCAACGCCGCGUGAAGGAAGAAGGCCUUCGGGUUGUAAACUUCUUUUACCAGGGACGAAGGACGUGACGGUACCUGGAGAAAAAGCAACGGCUAACUACGUGCCAGCAGCCGCGGUAAUACGUAGGUUGCAAGCGUUGUCCGGAUUUACUGGGUGUAAAGGGCGUGUAGGCGGAGAUGCAAGUUGGGAGUGAAAUCCAUGGGCUCAACCCAUGAACUGCUCUCAAAACUGUAUCCCUUGAGUAUCGGAGAGGCAAGCGGAAUUCCUAGUGUAGCGGUGAAAUGCGUAGAUAUUAGGAGGAACACCAGUGGCGAAGGCGGCUUGCUGGACGACAACUGACGCUGAGGCGCGAAA